GUUAAGGUGGCAGAGCCCGGCUAAU
Molecule: transfer RNA, 25 nt
Filed under: Girella mezina
Lineage: Eukaryota; Metazoa; Chordata; Actinopteri; Centrarchiformes; Girellidae
Also listed under: 2 other names
Description: partial tRNA-Leu
Source: RNAcentral